Molecule: ribosomal RNA, 411 nt
Filed under: uncultured bacterium
Lineage: Bacteria
Description: bacterial SSU rRNA
Rfam family: Bacterial small subunit ribosomal RNA
Source: RNAcentral
CUACUCUUGACAUCCAGAGAAGCCAGCGGAGACGCAGGUGUGCCUUCGGGAGCUCUGAGACAGGUGCUGCAUGGCUGUCGUCAGCUCGUGUUGUGAAAUGUUGGGUUAAGUCCCGCAACGAGCGCAACCCUUAUCCUUGUUUGCCAGCGAGUAAUGUCGGGAACUCCAGGGAGACUGCCGGUGAUAAACCGGAGGAAGGUGGGGACGACGUCAAGUCAUCAUGGCCCUUACGAGUAGGGCUACACACGUGCUACAAUGGCGCAUACAGAGGGCAGCCAACUUGCGAAAGUGAGCGAAUCCCAAAAAGUGCGUCGUAGUCCGGAUUGGAGUCUGCAACUCGACUCCAUGAAGUCGGAAUCGCUAGUAAUCGUAGAUCAGAAUGCUACGGUGAAUACGUUCCCGGGUCUUGUA